GUACACAAAAAUGCACAUAUUGUGAGCUCGAUGAGUAGGGCGGGACACGUGGUAUCCUGUCUGAAUAUGGGGGGACCAUCCUCCAAGGCUAAAUACUCCUGACUGACCGAUAGUGAACCAGUACCGUGAGGGAAAGGCGAAAAGAACCCCGGCGAGGGGAGUGAAAAAGAACCUGAAACCGUGUACGUACAAGCAGUGGGAGCCUCUUUAUGGGGUGACUGCGUACCUUUUGUAUAAUGGGUCAGCGACUUAUAUUCUGUAGCAAGGUUAACCGAAUAGGGGAGCCGAAGGGAAACCGAGUCUUAACUGGGCGUUAAGUUGCAGGGUAUAGACCCGAAACCCGGUGAUCUAGCCAUGGGCAGGUUGAAGGUUGGGUAACACUAACUGGAGGACCGAACCGACUAAUGUUGAAAAAUUAGCGGAUGACUUGUGGCUGGGGGUGAAAGGCCAAUCAAACCGGGAGAUAGCUGGUUCUCCCCGAAAGCUAUUUAGGUAGCGCCUCGUGAAUUCAUCUCCGGGGGUAGAGCACUGUUUCGGCAAGGGGGUCAUCCCGACUUACCAACCCGAUGCAAACUGCGAAUACCGGAGAAUGUUAUCACGGGAGACACACGGCGGGUGCUAACGUCCGUCGUGAAGAGGGAAACAACCCAGACCGCCAGCUAAGGUCCCAAAGUCAUGGUUAAGUGGGAAACGAUGUGGGAAGGCCCAGACAGCCAGGAUGUUGGCUUAGAAGCAGCCAUCAUUUAAAGAAAGCGUAAUAGCUCACUGGUCGAGUCGGCCUGCGCGGAAGAUGUAACGGGGCUAAACCAUGCACCGAAGCUGCGGCAGCGACACUAUGUGUUGUUGGGUAGGGGAGCGUUCUGUAAGCCUGUGAAGGUGGCCUGUGAGGGUUGCUGGAGGUAUCAGAAGUGCGAAUGCUGACAUAAGUAACGAUAAAGCGGGUGAAAAGCCCGCUCGCCGGAAGACCAAGGGUUCCUGUCCAACGUUAAUCGGGGCAGGGUGAGUCGACCCCUAAGGCGAGGCCGAAAGGCGUAGUCGAUGGGAAACAGGUUAAUAUUCCUGUACUUGGUGUUACUGCGAAGGGGGGACGGAGAAGGCUAUGUUGGCCGGGCGACGGUUGUCCCGGUUUAAGCGUGUAGGCUGGUUUUCCAGGCAAAUCCGGAAAACCAAGGCUGAGGCGUGAUGACGAGGCACUACGGUGCUGAAGCGACAAAUGCCCUGCUUCCAGGAAAAGCCUCUAAGCAUCAGGUAACAUCAAAUCGUACCCCAAACCGACACAGGUGGUCAGGUAGAGAAUACCAAGGCGCUUGAGAGAACUCGGGUGAAGGAACUAGGCAAAAUGGUGCCGUAACUUCGGGAGAAGGCACGCUGAUAUGUAGGUGAAGCGACUUGCUCGUGGAGCUGAAAUCAGUCGAAGAUACCAGCUGGCUGCAACUGUUUAUUAAAAACACAGCACUGUGCAAACACGAAAGUGGACGUAUACGGUGUGACGCCUGCCCGGUGCCGGAAGGUUAAUUGAUGGGGUUAGCGGUAACGCGAAGCUCUUGAUCGAAGCCCCGGUAAACGGCGGCCGUAACUAUAACGGUCCUAAGGUAGCGAAAUUCCUUGUCGGGUAAGUUCCGACCUGCACGAAUGGCGUAAUGAUGGCCAGGCUGUCUCCACCCGAGACUCAGUGAAAUUGAACUCGCUGUGAAGAUGCAGUGUACCCGCGGCAAGACGGAAAGACCCCGUGAACCUUUACUAUAGCUUGACACUGAACAUUGAGCCUUGAUGUGUAGGAUAGGUGGGAGGCUUUGAAGUGUGGACGCCAGUCUGCAUGGAGCCGACCUUGAAAUACCACCCUUUAAUGUUUGAUGUUCUAACGUUGGCCCGUAAUCCGGGUUGCGGACAGUGUCUGGUGGGUAGUUUGACUGGGGCGGUCUCCUCCUAAAGAGUAACGGAGGAGCACGAAGGUUGGCUAAUCCUGGUCGGACAUCAGGAGGUUAGUGCAAUGGCAUAAGCCAGCUUGACUGCGAGCGUGACGGCGCGAGCAGGUGCGAAAGCAGGUCAUAGUGAUCCGGUGGUUCUGAAUGGAAGGGCCAUCGCUCAACGGAUAAAAGGUACUCCGGGGAUAACAGGCUGAUACCGCCCAAGAGUUCAUAUCGACGGCGGUGUUUGGCACCUCGAUGUCGGCUCAUCACAUCCUGGGGCUGAAGUAGGUCCCAAGGGUAUGGCUGUUCGCCAUUUAAAGUGGUACGCGAGCUGGGUUUAGAACGUCGUGAGACAGUUCGGUCCCUAUCUGCCGUGGGCGCUGGAGAACUGAGGGGGGCUGCUCCUAGUACGAGAGGACCGGAGUGGACGCAUCACUGGUGUUCGGGUUGUCAUGCCAAUGGCACUGCCCGGUAGCUAAAUGCGGAAGAGAUAAGUGCUGAAAGCAUCUAAGCACGAAACUUGCCCCGAGAUGAGUUCUCCCUGACUCCUUGAGAG
Molecule: ribosomal RNA, 2466 nt
Filed under: Escherichia coli
Lineage: Bacteria; Pseudomonadati; Pseudomonadota; Gammaproteobacteria; Enterobacterales; Enterobacteriaceae
Description: partial 23S ribosomal RNA
Rfam family: Bacterial large subunit ribosomal RNA
Source: RNAcentral